GACGAACGCUGGCGGCGUGCUUAACACAUGCAAGUCGAACGGUGAAGCGCUUUCCUUUUUGGUUGGUGUGGAUGAGUGGCGAACGGGUGAGUAACACGUGAGUAACCUGCCCCCUUCUUCUGGAUAACCGCAUGAAAGGGUGGCUAAUACGGGAUAUUCUGCGCCUGCUGCAUGGUGGGUGUGGGAAAGAUUGUGCCUUUGGGUGUUUUCGCUGGGGGAUGGGCUCGCGGCCGAUCAGCUUGUUGGUGGGGGGAUGGCCUACCAAGGCGGUGACGGGUAGACGGAGGGGGAGGGUGGUCGGUGACACGGGGGCAUGGACACGGACCAGAGGCCUGCGGGACGGAGCAGAGGGGAAUAGGGCGCAGUGGGCGCAAGUAUGAUGCAGCGACGCAGAGUGAGAGCCAGCGGCCUUCGGUGUGUGAUCAAGGUUCGAGAGUGAAGCAGCCCUGUUACUCGGGAGUGGGUUGACGGUAGCGGGAGAAGAAGCUCCGGCUAACUACGUG
This 503-nucleotide ribosomal RNA is filed under the name uncultured bacterium. RNAcentral's name for it is "partial 16S ribosomal RNA". It matches the Rfam family "Bacterial small subunit ribosomal RNA", at positions 28 to 507 of the family's 1533-position model. The record is from RNAcentral.